UGCCCUGUACGUCAUUUUCAGUCUUCAAUUCCUCCCAGCCCGUUAAAUGGAAACUGUGAGUUGAGGCGAGUUGAAGACUAAAAAUGCUGUGCAGAAUCA
Molecule: microRNA precursor, 99 nt
Filed under: Chelydra serpentina (North American snapping turtle)
Lineage: Eukaryota; Metazoa; Chordata; Testudines; Chelydridae
Description: mir-727
Rfam family: mir-727 microRNA precursor family
Source: RNAcentral